UACACAUAUACACGACCCACCCCCCUCCAUUUUAUCUUCUCCAUCGGACGCCCAACAGCCCACCAUGGCUGUUGCUUCUUCUUCUUCGUCAGUCACCGCUCAGCAACGCACACAUACACCUAUCGUCUUCUUCACAUCACAACCGGAUGACCCCAGCCCGCCACCAACAGACCCGUCGCAGACUUCAACAGUUCCCAGUCGUGUCUCUCUUCAACUUCCUCACUUGAGAGACCGUCCCUUUAAAAAAAAUAAAAAAAUAUUCUGAUUUUGUUCUUUCAUUUUUCCGACUUUCGUCUCAAAAUCAGAGGCGUUGUCUUUCGAUUUUCGUUCCAAAAUGGAGGUCAGUAGAGUUUGUAUGUGGAUUUGAAAUUGACUGUGCCGAUUCGAGGUCCGUUUUUGAAUUUUGUGGUUGUUCUGGCGAGUUUCGAGAUUGGGUCGUGGUUCCGUUCGAGGUUUCCGAUGAAGCUCUGGUUCUACAGUUCGAGGACAUCAUUUCGUCAGUAUUUUCAGGAAUUUUUACAAUUGUAAAGGUACAUACCUCGAUCUUAAAAUGUAAAGGUUGAUUCAUGUGAUGUUUUGAGGAGAUAAUGAAGAUAUUUGUUUUGUUAUAUGUCUCUCUCUUUGUUCCCUUCCCCAUUUGACUUGUUGAAAAGAAUUUCUGGCUCAGCAUGUUUAAAGUAAAGCUAUGUUGCACACAAUGAGAUUCAUGUCAAAAAUGUAACUGGAUUGUUAUUCUAUACUUGCUGGUUUCCAUUUGUUUUACUUCAGUCUUUAUUAUUGUUAAAAGAGUUGGUUGAUUUUGUA
Long non-coding RNA from Nicotiana tabacum (common tobacco), 804 nucleotides. RefSeq lists it as uncharacterized. The record is from RefSeq and is a predicted model, not a curated record. Lineage: Eukaryota; Viridiplantae; Streptophyta; Magnoliopsida; Solanales; Solanaceae.